This 377-nucleotide ribosomal RNA is filed under the name uncultured bacterium. RNAcentral's name for it is "bacterial SSU rRNA". It matches the Rfam family "Bacterial small subunit ribosomal RNA", at positions 521 to 896 of the family's 1533-position model. The record is from RNAcentral.
UAAUACGGAAGGGGCAAGCGUUGUUCGGAAUCAUUGGGCGUAAAGGGCGCGUAGGUGGUUCUGUAUGUCUAUCGUGAAAGCGUACGGCUCAACCGUAUUUUGUCGGUAGAAACUGCAGGACUUGAGGCUGGGAGGGGCUGGUGGAAUUCCCUGUGUAGCGGUGAAAUGCGUAGAGAUGGGGGAGAACACUCGUGGCGAAGGCGGCCAGCUAGACCAGUUCUGACACUGAGGCGCGACAGCGUGGGGAGCAAACAGGAUUAGAUACCCUGGUAGUCCACGCUGUAAACGAUGGGCACUAGGUGCCGGCGGUCUUGAUCCCGUCGGUGCCGGCGCUAACGCAGUAAGUGCCCCGCCUGGGGAGUACGGUCGCAAGGCUG